This 392-nucleotide ribosomal RNA is filed under the name uncultured bacterium. RNAcentral's name for it is "partial 16S ribosomal RNA". It matches the Rfam family "Bacterial small subunit ribosomal RNA", at positions 523 to 918 of the family's 1533-position model. The record is from RNAcentral.
AUACGGAGGAUCCGAGCGUUAUCCGGAUUUAUUGGGUUUAAAGGGUGCGCAGGCGGCCAUUUAAGUCAGCGGUUAAAUCGUGGGGCUCAACCCCAUUCUGCCGUUGAUACUGGGUGGCUUGAUUGCGGUCGAGGUUGGCGGAAUUCGUUGUGUAGCGGUGAAAUGCAUAGAUAUGACGAAGAACUCCGAUCGCGAAGGCAGCUCACCGGGCCGGAACUGACACUGAUGCUCGAAAGUGCGGGUAUCAAACAGGAUUAGAUACCCUGGUAGUCCGCACAGUAAACGAUGAAUACUCGCUGUUUGCGAUACACGGUAAGCGGCCAAGCGAAAGCGUUAAGUAUUCCACCUGGGGAGUACGCCGGCAACGGUGAAACUCAAAUGAAUUGACGGGG